This 238-nucleotide ribosomal RNA is filed under the name uncultured bacterium. RNAcentral describes it as "partial 16S ribosomal RNA". It matches the Rfam family "Bacterial small subunit ribosomal RNA", at positions 96 to 334 of the family's 1533-position model. The record is from RNAcentral.
UGGCGGACGGGUGAGUAACGCGUGGGUAACCUGCCUCAUACAGGGGGAUAACAGUUAGAAAUGACUGCUAAUACCGCAUAAGACCACAGUACCGCAUGGUACAGGGGUAAAAACUCCGGUGGUAUGAGAUGGACCCGCGUCUGAUUAGGUAGUUGGUGAGGUAACGGCCCACCAAGGCGACGAUCGGUAGCCGGACUGAGAGGUUGAACGGCCACAUUGGGACUGAGACACGGCCCAG